UACAGAGGUCCCGAGCGUUGUUCGGAUUCACUGGGCGUAAAGGGUGCGUAGGCGGCGGGUUCAGUCUGAUGUGAAAGCUUCGAGCUCAACUCGGAAAUGGCAUUGGAAACUGCCUCGCUGGAGGCCUGGAGGGGGGAGUGGAAUACUCGGUGUAGCAGUGAAAUGCGUAGAGAUCGAGAGGAACACCAGUGGCGAAGGCGAGUCCCUGGACAGGAACUGACGCUGAGGCACGAAAGCCAGGGGAGCAAACGGG
RNAcentral lists this ribosomal RNA (253 nucleotides) under uncultured bacterium. Its description in RNAcentral is "partial 16S ribosomal RNA". It matches the Rfam family "Bacterial small subunit ribosomal RNA", at positions 524 to 776 of the family's 1533-position model. The record is from RNAcentral.